GUGAAAUUGUUGAAAGGGAAACGAUUGAAGUCAGUCGUGCCGGCGGGGAUUCAGCGAAUUCCGUGGAAUGAGCGUACUUCCUCGCAUGGCAGGUCAGCGUCAGUUUCGCGCGUCGUGAACUGGUUCUGGUAAGGUGGCUCUCUUCGGGGAGUGUGAUAGACCGGAGCAGAUGCGGGGGCGCGAGACUGAGGAUUGCAGCGAACACCCUUCGGGGCGCGGCAUCGGGUCUCUGUUCCGUCACCUGUGUCCGAUAGCGUGCUAACGGAUGUGGGAGCGGCGGUUCACCGGACUGGAAUGGCAGCGGUUCGCUUAGGACGCUGACGUAAUGGCUUUAAACGAC
RNAcentral lists this ribosomal RNA (340 nucleotides) under uncultured Paraglomus. Its description in RNAcentral is "eukaryotic LSU rRNA". The record is from RNAcentral. Lineage: Eukaryota; Fungi; Glomeromycota; Glomeromycetes; Paraglomerales; Paraglomeraceae.